UGCAUUGGACCUGGAUAGAAAGUAACUUGA
This 30-nucleotide non-coding RNA is filed under the name Rattus norvegicus (Norway rat). Lineage: Eukaryota; Metazoa; Chordata; Mammalia; Rodentia; Muridae. The record is from RNAcentral.